ACAGCUAGAAGGUCAACCAUGAUAUAUAUGAAUUAGCACUCAUUCAGAUUGCAUAGCUGAUAAACAUGAGAUCGUACUUGACAUUGGAAUGGCUUCUCGCCUGUAUGAGUUCGCACAUGCUCGAUGAAGUCCUUCUUGGAGAAGAACUCUUUAGGGCAAGAGGAGCAGUGAUGUGGUUUGACUGACAAAUGGACUCGCUUGCGGUGAUCUAUUAAGGCCGAGUUGGAUUUAAAAGCCGCUCCACAUUCUGGACACAAAUAGCUUUUGAUCUUUUCAUGGACGGAGCUUUUGUGAAUCCGUAGGGCAGAGAGUCGUCCAAAAUCUUUCCCACAAGCCGCGCAAUGAUAGGGCCUCUCACCUGAAAUGGAAGAGCAAUUGCGCCUCUUUCUUUAAAAAAUAUGAUGGGUCUCCUCCCACACUCGAAGACGUGGCAGAAUCAUGUUGAGGAAGCUCUACUGGAAUGAGACGGGUGCUGGAUUCGUCGCCUUCAUCUGUGGUCACAAAUAUAUAGCUGCCCUCUUGUCCCGGGAUCUCCACCACCGAGUCCUCAGAUAUGAAGAUUGUGUUGUGUAAAAGUUCCGUUUCUGAAUUUUCCGCGGCGUUUUCUUCUCCAUGCUUGAUCCCUUCUUUGCUGCGCCCUACCUGAGACAAAGCUAAAAGUGACGAAGCCGCCGCUCCAGACAAGGCGGUUGUUGAAACCCGUCCAGUUUCGUUCGGCUUUGUCUCUUCUUCGGAGAGUUUUUGAAUGAAAACAGAUGAGUCCUCACGAGAUGCAGUGGAGGCUGAAAAAAAUAGCAUAAGACAAUCGUUUAUUUAUUAGAUUGACGUCCAAAAAUGGGCCUGUCUCACCAUCUCUAACGCUGUUGUCGGAUUGUUCAGCGACAAUAUAGUGUUCGUUAUCCGAUCCUUUGGUGACGUGCUGUAGUAUUACGGUAUUGCCGCUCUCAUCCGUGCAAUAAAGAACGGUGCCGUUGUCCUCGAGAGCUUCGACCAUCUUCAUCGUCGA
Tigriopus californicus is the source of this 1006-nucleotide long non-coding RNA. RefSeq lists it as uncharacterized. The transcript is spliced from 2 exons. The record is from RefSeq and is a predicted model, not a curated record. NCBI's taxonomy places the organism in Eukaryota, Metazoa, Arthropoda, Copepoda, Harpacticoida, Harpacticidae.